This 498-nucleotide ribosomal RNA is filed under the name uncultured bacterium. RNAcentral's name for it is "partial 16S ribosomal RNA". It matches the Rfam family "Bacterial small subunit ribosomal RNA", at positions 28 to 523 of the family's 1533-position model. The record is from RNAcentral.
GAUGAACGCUAGCUACAGGCUUAACACAUGCAAGUCGAGGGGUAGCAGGGUAGCAAUACCGCUGACGACCGGCGCACGGGUGAGUAACACGUAUCCAACCUUCCCAUAACUCGGGGAUAGCCUUUCGAAAGAAAGAUUAAUACCCGAUAGUACUUUAUUAAGGCAUCUUAAGAAAGUUAAAGAUUUAUUGGUUAUGGAUGGGGAUGCGUUCCAUUAGAUAGUUGGUGAGGUAACGGCUCACCAAGUCUUCGAUGGAUAGGGGUUCUGAGAGGAAGAGCCCCCACAUUGGUACUGAGACACGGACCAAACUCCUACGGGAGGCAGCAGUGAGGAAUAUUGGUCAAUGGGCGAGAGCCUGAACCAGCCAAGUAGCGUGAAGGAUGAAGGUCCUAUGGAUUGUAAACUUCUUUUAUAGUAGAAUAAAGUGAACCACGUGUGGUUUUUUGUAUGUAUAUUAUGAAUAAGGAUCGGCUAACUCCGUGCCAGCAGCCGCCGUAA